Molecule: ribosomal RNA, 481 nt
Filed under: uncultured bacterium
Lineage: Bacteria
Description: SSU rRNA
Rfam family: Bacterial small subunit ribosomal RNA
Source: RNAcentral
AGAACGAACGCUGGCGGCAUGCCUAACACAUGCAAGUCGAACGCUUCCGGGGCUUCGGUCGCGGAGGAGUGGCGCACGGGUGAGUAGCGCGUGGGAACCUGCCCUGUUGUGGGGGAUAACCGAGGGAAACUUCGGCUAAUACCGCAUACGCCCCGGGACUUGGUCUUCGGAUUAGGUCUGGGGGGAAAGAUUGAUCGCAGCAGGAGGGGCCCGCGUCGGAUUAGCUGGUUGGUGGGGUAACGGCUCACCAAGACGAUGAUCCGUAGCUGGUCUGAGAGGAUGAUCAGCCACACUGGGACUGAGACACGGCCCAGACUCCUACGGGAGGCAGCAGUGGGGAAUAUUGGACAAUGGGGGCAACCCUGAUCCAGCAAUGCCGCGUGAGUGAUGAAGGCCUUAGGGUUGUAAAGCUCUUUCGCCCGCGACGAUGAUGACGGUAGCGGGAGAAGAGCCCGGCUAACUUUGCGCCAGCAGCCGCGGU